GAUGAGGAAGGGCUAGAUGAGGAAGGGCUAGAUGAGGAAGGGCUAGAUGAGGAAGGGCUAGUUGAGGAAGGGCUAGAUGAGGAAGGGCUAGAUGAGGAAGGGCUAGAUGAGGAAGGGCUAGAUGAGGAAGGGCUAGAUGAGGAAGGCUAGAUGAGGAAGGGCUAGUUGGGCAGGGCUAGAUGAGGAAGGGCUAGAUGAGGAAGGCAAGAUGAGGAAGGCUAGUUGGGUCGGGCUAGAUGAGGAAGGCUAGAUGAUGAAGGGCUAGAUGGGAAGGGCUAGAUGAGGAAGGGCUAGAUGAGGAAGGCUAGAUGAGGAAGGCUAGAUGAGGAAGGCUAGAUGAGGAAGGCUAGAUGAGGAAGGGCAGAUGAGGAAGGCUAGAUGAGGAAGGGCUAGAUGAGGAAGGGCUAGUUGGGCAGGGCUAGAUGAGGAAGGGCUAGAUGAGGAAGGCUAGAUGAGGAAGGCUAGUUGGGCAGGGCUAGAUGAGGAAGGCUAGAUGAGGAAGGCUAGAUGAGGAAGGCUAUUUGGGUCGGGCUAGAUGAGGAAGGCUAGAUGAUGAAGGGCUAGAUGGGAAGGGCUAGAUGAGGAAGGGCUAGAUGAGGAAGGCUAGAUGAGGAAGGCUAGAUGAGGAAGGGCAGAUGAGGAAGGCUAGAUGAGGAAGGGCUAGAUGAGGAAGGGCUAGUUGGGCAGGGCUAGAUGAGGAAGGGCUAGAUGAGGAAGGCUAGAUGAGGAAGGCUAGUUGGGCAGGGCUAGAUGAGGAAGGCUAGAUGAGGAAGGCUAGAUGGGAAGGGCUAGAUGAUGAAUGCUAGUUGGGAAGGGCUAGAUGAUGAAGGCUAGAUGAUGAAGGGCUAUGUGAGGAAGGGCUAGAUGGUAAGGGCUAGAUGGGAAGGGCUAUAUGAUGAAGGGCUAGAUGGGAAGGGCUAGAUGGGAAGGGCUAGAUGACGAAGGGCUAUAUGAGGAAGGGCUAGAUGGGAAGGGCUAGAUGGGAAGGGCUAUAUGAUGAAGGGCUAGAUGGGAAGGGCUAGAUGACGAAGGGCUAUAUGAUGAAGGGCUAGAUGGGAAGGGCUAGAUGGGAAGGGCUAGAUGAGGAAGGCUAGUUGAUGAAGGGCUAGAUGAGGAAGGCUAGUUAGGCAGGGCUAGAUGGGAAGGGCUAGAUGGGAAGGGCUAGAUGGGAAGGGCUAGAUGGGAAGGGCUAGAUGAGGAAGGCUAGUUGGGGAAGGCUAGAUGGGAAGGGCUAGAUGAGGAAGGAUAGAUGGGAAGGGCUAGAUGAGGAAGGGCUAGAUGGGAAGGGCUAGAUGGGAAGGGCUAUAUGAUGAAGGCUAGAUGGGAAGGGCUAGAUGGGAAGGGCUAUACGAUGAAGGCUAGAUGGGAAGGGCUAGAUGAUGAAGGGCUAGAUGGGAAGGGCUAGAUGAGGAGGGCUAGUUGGGGAAGGCUAGAUGGGAAGGGCUAGAUGAGGAAGGAUAGAUGGGAAGGGCUAGAUGAGGAGGGCUAGAUGAGGAAGGCUAGAUGGGAAGGGCUAGAUGAGGAGGGCUAGAUGAGGAAGGCUAGAUGGGAAGGGCUAGAUGAGGACGGAUAGAUGGGA
Molecule: long non-coding RNA, 1579 nt
Organism: Oncorhynchus tshawytscha (Chinook salmon)
Lineage: Eukaryota; Metazoa; Chordata; Actinopteri; Salmoniformes; Salmonidae
Source: Ensembl